GAGCUCUCUGCAACUCCAAUGGCGGCCAUAAGCUCUCUAUCACUCAAAACUCCAACAAAAAUUCAAUCUUUAACCAAAACCCAUUACGCCAUACCUCUCAAUCUUCCUUUUUCAUGCCGUUCCAAAUCCAAAAGAACCGGGUCAAUCGGGUCCCGGACCCGAAUCCGUUGUGGUUUGUUGAUAGAACCUGAUGGAGGCAAACUUGUGGAGCUUUUUGUUGAGGAAUCACAAAGAGAAUUGAAGAGAGAAGAUGCUUUGAAAUUGCCUAAAAUUAAGCUUACGAAGAUUGAUCUUGAAUGGGUUCAUGUGUUAAGUGAAGGAUGGGCUAGUCCAUU
RNAcentral lists this unclassified non-coding RNA (335 nucleotides) under Hevea brasiliensis (rubber tree). The record is from RNAcentral. Lineage: Eukaryota; Viridiplantae; Streptophyta; Magnoliopsida; Malpighiales; Euphorbiaceae.